GACGAACGCUGGCGGCGUGCCUAAUACAUGCAAGUUGAGCGCUGAAGGUUGGUACUUGUACCAACUGGAUGAGCAGCGAACGGGUGAGUAACGCGUGGGGAAUCUGCCUUUGAGCGGGGGACAACAUUUGCAAACGAAUGCUAAUACCGCAUAAAAACUUUAAACACAAGUUUUAAGUUUGAAAGAUGCAAUUGCAUCACUCAAAGAUGAUCCCGCGUUGUAUUAGCUAGUUGGUGAGGUAAAGGCUCACCAAGGCGAUGAUACAUAGCCGACCUGAGAGGGUGAGAGGACACAGUGAGACUGAGACACGGCCCAAACUCCUACGGGAGGCAGCAGUAGGGAAUCUUCGGCAAUGGACGAAAGUCUGACCGAGCAACGCCGCGUGAGUGAAGAAGGUUUUCGGAUCGUAAAACACUGUUGGUAGAGAAGAACGUUGGUGAGAGUGGAAAGCUCAUCAAGUGACGGUAACUCCCCAGAAAGGGACGGCUAACUACGUG
Molecule: ribosomal RNA, 497 nt
Filed under: uncultured bacterium
Lineage: Bacteria
Description: partial 16S ribosomal RNA
Rfam family: Bacterial small subunit ribosomal RNA
Source: RNAcentral